UACGAAGGGGGCUAGCGUUGUUCGGAAUUACUGGGCGUAAAGCGCGCGCAGGCGGUCUUCCAAGUCAGUGGUGAAAGCCCGGAGCUCAACUCCGGAAUUGCCAUUGAAACUGUUGGACUUGAGGAUGAGAGAGGUGAGUGGAAUUCCCAGUGUAGAGGUGAAAUUCGUAGAUAUUGGGAAGAACACCGGUGGCGAAGGCGGCUCACUGGUCCAUUACUGACGCUGAGGUGCGAAAGCGUGGGGAGCAAACAGG
Molecule: ribosomal RNA, 253 nt
Filed under: uncultured bacterium
Lineage: Bacteria
Description: partial 16S ribosomal RNA
Rfam family: Bacterial small subunit ribosomal RNA
Source: RNAcentral